Molecule: ribosomal RNA, 1264 nt
Filed under: Waoraniella jarlinsoni
Lineage: Eukaryota; Metazoa; Arthropoda; Insecta; Psocodea; Lachesillidae
Description: 16S ribosomal RNA
Rfam family: Archaeal large subunit ribosomal RNA (bases 1033-1191)
Source: RNAcentral
UUUUAAAAUUUUUUAGAUUGAUUAAUAUUAUUUAUUUUAUUUAUUAAUAAUUAAUUAAAUAAAGUAUUAUUAUUUUUAGUAUAAUAAAAAAUAAAUUUUGAGUUAUUAAAGUAGAUUGUAUAAAAAUAGAAUUAUUAAAAUAUUAAGAAAAAAAAUAUUAUUUUUGUACCUUUUGUAUCAGGGUUUAAUAAAAAUUUUUUAAAUAAUUUAUUCUCGAAUAAUUAAGAUUUAAUUUUUUAUGAUUUUAAAUGUUGAAAAAUUUAAUUUAAUAAAAAAUUGGUAAUGAAAAGUUGAUCGUUUAAUUUGAUUUCUAGUUUUUAAGUAAAUUAAUUUAAUUAAGUUUUUAAUUUUUUUUAUAAUUUUUUAUUUUAAUGAUUUAAAAAAUAAAUUAUGAAGAGUUUAUUUUUUAUAAUUUUUAUAUCAAUUUAAAAAUGAUUUUUUCUAGAUUUAGUAUUUUUAAUUUGAUUAAUAGUUUUUAAAAAAAAAAGAUUAGUGAAAUUUAAUUUUUUUUUGAUUAAUUUUUUAUUUAGAUUUAAAUUUAAAUAUAUUAAAUUAUUUAAUAAUAUUAAAAUUAGUAAAUUUUUUAUUUUGAAUAUAGGAAUUCGGCAAAUUAAUUUUUCGCCUGUGUUUAUCAAAAACAUGUCUUUAAGAAUAUAUUUAAAGUCCAAUCUGCUCACUGAUUAUUUAAAGAGCCGCAGUAUUUUAACUGUGCAAAGGUAGCAUAAUAAAUAGUUUUUUAAUUGAAAGCUGGAAUGAAAGAUUAGACGAGAAAGUAGCUUUCUUUAUUCUAUUAAAUUGAAUUUAAAGUUUAAGUUAAAAUUCUUAAAUGUAUUUAAAAGACGAGAAGACCCUAUAGAUUUUUAUUUACAAAUUAAUUUUUUAAAAUUUUUAUUGAUGCUAAAUUUGAUUGGGGCGAUUUAAAUAACUUGAUUUGGGGCGAUUUUGUAAUAUAAAUAACUUAAUAUUAAAAAAACAUAAAUUAUUGGAUUUUUUGAACUAAAAAUUUUAAUUAAUAGAUUAAAUUACCUUAGGGAUAACAGCGUAAUUUUAUUUAAGAGUUCAUAUCUAAAAUAAAGGUUGCGACCUCGAUGUUGAAUUAAGAUAUAUAUAGAAGUAGAAGUUUAUAAUUAUUAGUCUGUUCGACUAUUAAAUUCUUACAUGAUUUGAGUUCAGACCGGCGUGAGCCAGGUCAGUUUCUAUCUUUAAAUUAUUUUUAUAAAUAAGUACGAAAGGACAAUUUAUAAAUAAAAUUUAUUUAUUUUGU